AGUCUGUCAAGUCGGAUGUGAAAUCCCCGGGCUCAACCGGGGAACUGCAUUCGAAACUGGCAGGCUAGAGUCUUGUAGAGGGGGGUAGAAUUCCAGGUGUAGCGGUGAAAUGCGUAGAGAUCUGGAGGAAUACCGGUGGCGAAGGCGGCCCCCUGGACAAAGACUGACGCUCAGGUGCGAAAGCGUGGGGAGCAAACAGGAUUAGAUACCCUGGUAGUCCACGCCGUAAACGAUGUCGACUUGGAGGUUGUUCCCUUGAGGAGUGGCUUCCGGAGCUAACGCGUUAAGUCGACCGCCUGGGGAGUACGGCCGCAAGGUUAAAACUCAAAUGAACUGACGGGGGCCCGCACAAGCGGUGGAGCAUGUGGUUUAAUUCGAUGCAACGCGAAGAACCUUACCUACUCUUGACAUCCAGAGAACUUUCCAGAGAUGGAUUGGUGCCUUCGGGAACUCUGAGACAGGUGCUGCAUGGCUGUCGUCAGCUCUUGUUGUGAAAUGUUGGGUUAAGUCCCGCAACG
Molecule: ribosomal RNA, 518 nt
Filed under: uncultured bacterium
Lineage: Bacteria
Description: bacterial SSU rRNA
Rfam family: Bacterial small subunit ribosomal RNA
Source: RNAcentral